GGAACUUGAGUGCAGAAGAGGAGAGUGGAAUUCCACGUGUAGCGGUGAAAUGCGUAGAGAUGUGGAGGAACACCAGUGGCGAAGGCGACUCUCUGGUCUGUAACUGACGCUGAGGCGCGAAAGCGUGGGGAGCGAACAGGAUUAGAUACCCUGGUAGUCCACGCCGUAAACGAUGAGUGCUAAGUGUUAGAGGGUUUCCGCCCUUUAGUGCUGCAGCAAACGCAUUAAGCACUCCGCCUGGGGAGUACGGUCGCAAGACUGAAACUCAAAGGAAUUGACGGGGGCCCGCACAAGCGGUGGAGCAUGUGGUUUAAUUCGAAGCAACGCGAAGAACCUUACCAGGUCUUGACAUCCUCUGACAACCCUAGAGAUAGGGCUUCCCCUUCGGGGGCAGAGUGACAGGUGGUGCAUGGUUGUCGUCAGCUCGUGUCGUGAGAUGUUGGGUUAAGUCCCGCAACGAGCGCAACCCUUGAUCUUAGUUGCCAGCAUUCAGUUGGGCACUCUAAGGUGACUGCCGGUGACAAACCGGAGGAAGGUGGGGAUGACGUCAAAUCAUCAUGCCCCUUAUGACCUGGGCUACACACGUGCUACAAUGGGCAGAACAAAGGGCAGCGAAGCCGCGAGGCUAAGCCAAUCCCACAAAUCUGUUCUCAGUUCGGAUCGCAGUCUGCAACUCGACUGC
This 682-nucleotide ribosomal RNA is filed under the name Bacillus licheniformis. Its description in RNAcentral is "bacterial SSU rRNA". It matches the Rfam family "Bacterial small subunit ribosomal RNA", at positions 637 to 1319 of the family's 1533-position model. The record is from RNAcentral. Lineage: Bacteria; Bacillati; Bacillota; Bacilli; Caryophanales; Bacillaceae.